CCUACGGGGUGCUGCAGUGGGGAAUAUUGGACAAUGGGCGAAAGCCUGAUCCAGCCAUGCCGCGUGUGUGAAGAAGGCCUUCGGGUUGUAAAGCACUUUCAGUGGGGAAGAAAGCCUUGGGGCUAAUACCCUCGAGGAAGGACAUCACCCACAGAAGAAGCACCGGCUAACUCCGUGCCAGCAGCCGCGGUAAUACGGAGGGUGCGAGCGUUAAUCGGAAUUACUGGGCGUAAAGCGCGCGUAGGCGGUCUGAUAAGCCGGUUGUGAAAGCCCCGGGCUCAACCUGGGAACGGCAUCCGGAACUGUCAGGCUAGAGUGCAGGAGAGGAAGGUAGAAUUCCCGGUGUAGCGGUGAAAUGCGUAGAGAUCGGGAGGAAUACCAGUGGCGAAGGCGGCCUUCUGGACUGACACUGACGCUGAGGUGCGAAAGCGUGGGUAGCAAACAGGAUAGAUACCCGAGUAGU
This 463-nucleotide ribosomal RNA is filed under the name Vreelandella stevensii. Its description in RNAcentral is "partial 16S ribosomal RNA". It matches the Rfam family "Bacterial small subunit ribosomal RNA", at positions 338 to 794 of the family's 1533-position model. The record is from RNAcentral. Lineage: Bacteria; Pseudomonadati; Pseudomonadota; Gammaproteobacteria; Oceanospirillales; Halomonadaceae.